CCUUCCUUUUGAGGUAUUUAACCUUAUGGUCAAAUUUCAAAAAGAUCCAUUCACUUAAACUAAAGUUAGAGUGCGAAAACCAAUGUGUCUUCGGACGACGACGACGACAACGUCAUACCAAUAUACGACCAAAAAUUUUUUUUGCGGUCGUAUAAAAAUCUAUAUACAGUCAGAUUUGGCAUAACAAAUAAAUAAAUGUGGUCAAAGAUUUUACAAAUCUAAUGCGCCAUACUGUGCAAUUAAAGAUUACUUCUUGAAAUUUUUCAAUAUUUGAAAUUUGAAAAAAAAAAAAAUAUUUGAAGAAUAAUUCUUUUUAGUUUCUGAAAUCUGAAAUGAGAAAAAAUUGACCCCCCACAAUUUCUUUUUACCCCCCCCCCCCCCCCCCCCCCCCCCCAAAAAAAAAAUUCUUUCCCUCAAGAUAUGGUCAUAAUCUCAAUUCAAAUUUCCAAUGGAAUUUGCAACCAUAGUUACCCAUUUAAAUUUACCAUAGUGCUAACUUAAUCUAUUUUAUAAUAGAAUUUAAAAUAUGGUGUCAAAUCUUUCAUAUGGAUUUUUUUGAAAAAAAAAAAAAAGAUGCAACAUUUGCAGAUAUUUUUACUGGUCUUCCUUUAUAAAUAUGCAUUUCUUUAAACAUAAUUUAAAAGCAGUGUAAGGGAAGUUAUCAAAACGUUGUAUGUGGAUUACCUCCCUUACACUGUUUUCAAUUGUCUUAAUUGUUCAAUAACCAUUACUUUAUAAAUAAUUUAAAAGCAGUGUAAGGGAGAUAAUUUCAAUGAUGUAUUUGAAUUAUCUCCCUUACACUGCUUUAAAUUAUGUUUUGUACUAAAGUAUUUGUCCAUUAACCAGGACAACCUUGUUUUUCCCCCUUUUUUGCCCCUAAUUCCUUAACUGUUUGAGCCAUAACCCCCCAAAGCAAAUCCUAACCAUCCCUUUGUGGUAUGGAAACUUGUAGUAUAAUUUCAGAGAGAUCCAUACACCGUUCCACAGUUAUUGUCUAGAAACUAAAAAAUGCUUAUUUUAAACCCCUUUUUAGGCCCCUUAUUACUAAACGUUUUGGGCAAUUACCACAACACUCAAUUCCAGCUUUCCCUUUGUGAAAUGGAACCUUGUAGUAAAAUUUCAGAAAGAUCCAUACACUUACACACAAGUUAUUGUCAUGAAACUAGAAAAAUGCUUGUUUUUUGCCCCCUUUUGGCCCCUUAUUCCUAAAAUUUUGAGGCAAUUAACCCCAAAAUCAAUCCCAGCAUUGACCCUUUGUGAUAUGGAAUCUUGUGGUACAAUGUCAAGGAGAUCCAUAUGCUAACACACAAGUUAUGUCUGGAAGUUACAAAAAUGCUUAUUUUCGGCCCCUUUUUGGCCCCUAAUUCCUUAACUGUUGGUACCAUAACCCCUAAAAUCAAUCCAAACCUUCCUAUUGUGGUAUUUAACCUUAUGGUAAAAUUUCAAAGAGAUCCAUUCACUUAAACUAAAGUUAGAGUGCGAAAACCAAAGUGUCUUCGGACGACGACGCCAACGUCAUACCAAUAUAAGACCGCAAAAAAUUUUUGCGGUCGUAUAAAAACCUGCGUGACUGACAAAUAGAUCAUAAAAUAUUUCCAUACACCAAAUAUAGUUGAACUAUUGCAUAUAGUUUUAGAAAAAAAGACCAAAACUCAAAAACUUAACUUUGACCACUGAACCAUGAAAAUGAGGUCAAGGUCAGAUGACACCUGCCAGCUAUACAUGUACACCUUACAAUUAUUCCAUACACCAAAUAUAGUAGACCUAUUGCAUACAGUAUAAGAAAAACAGACCAAAACACAAAAACUUAACUAUAACCACUGAACCAUGAAAAUGAGGUCAAGGUCAGAUGACACCUGCCAGCUAGACAUGUACACCUUACAGUCCUUCCAUACACCAAAUAUAGUAGACCUAUUGCAUACAGUAUAAGAAAAACAGACCAAAACACAAAAACUUAACUAUAACCACUGAACCAUGAAAAUGAGGUCAAGGUCAGAUGACACCUGCCAGCUAGACAUGUACACCUUACAGUCCUUCCAUUCACCAAAUAUAGUACACCUAUUGCAUACAGUAUAAGAAAAACAGACCAAAACACAAAAAACUUAACUAUAACCACUGAACCAUGAAAAUGAGGUCAAGGUCAGAUGACACCUGCCAGCUAGACAUGUACACCUUACAGUCCUUCCAUACACCAAAUAUAGUAGACCUAUUGCAUACAGUAUAAGAAAAACAGACCAAAACACAAAAACUUAACUAUAACCACUGAACCAUGAAAAUGAGGUCAAGGUCAGAUGACACCUGCCAGUUGGACAUGUACACCUUACAGUCCUUCCAUACACCAAAUAUAGAAGACCUAUUGCUUAUAGUAUCUGAUAUAUGGACUUGACCACGAAAACUUAACCUUGUUCACUGAUCCAUGAAAUGAGGUCGAGGUCAGGUGAAAACUGUCUGACGGGCAUGAGGACCUUGCAAGGUACACACAUAUUAAAUAUAGUUAUCCUAUUAUUCAUAAUAAGAGAGAAAUUAACAUUACAAAAAAUCUUAACUUUUUUUUCAAGUAGUCACUGAACCAUGAAAAUGAGGUCAAGGACUUUGGACAUGUGACUGACGGAAACUUCGUAACAUGAGGCAUCCAUAUACAAAGUAUGAAGCAUCAAGACCUUCCACCCUCUAAAAUAUAAAGCUUUAAAGAAGUUAGCUAACGCCGCCGCCGGAUCACUAUCCCUAUGUCGAGCUUUCUGCGACAAAAGUCGCAGGCUCUACAAAAAUGCUUGUUUUUGGCCCCUUUUUUGCCCCUUAUUUCUAAACGUUUGGGGCAAUUACCCCCAAACUCAAUCCCAGCCUUCCCUUUGUGGUAUGUAACCUUAUAGUACAAAUUCAGAGAGAUCUAUACACUUAAACACAAGUUAUUGUCUUUAAACUAGAA
Molecule: long non-coding RNA, 2926 nt
Organism: Mytilus californianus (California mussel)
Lineage: Eukaryota; Metazoa; Mollusca; Bivalvia; Mytilida; Mytilidae
Exons: 3
Source: RefSeq, a predicted model, not a curated record